CGCAAUGGUAUGGAAGAGGAGAGCACAUGUAAAGUUCGUUUACGUCGGUUCUUUAUCUUGGAAAACAAAAGGAUCAGUGAGUUCAAAAAACGUUUGGGAAAACUGGAUGAGCUUGGUGUGGUCCAUGAAGCGGAUCUUGCACUAGUUACGGAAGGAUGACAUUCUAAAGGCCAUAGAUGUGCACAAGUGUAGUACACAUUUUAUAAAAGCAACAUGUGAACAAAAAACACUCCAGAAACUUUAUUCCCAUUUCAAGACUAGGAGAUUUAUCCAGUCCAGAGCGAAACUCAAGUCAAGAAGAGUACCUUGAUCUUCUAUCACAGAAGACAUUUUUUGCCAACACUUCCAGAGCAAAGGAGUCACUUGGACACAGGAUUUCAGUCUAUGACAGUGGAAACAAUCCUGGUGAUGUCUACUAGAACAAGGUAGCUAAUCAAGUUAAAA
This 444-nucleotide unclassified non-coding RNA is filed under the name Anneissia japonica. Its description in RNAcentral is "uncharacterized LOC117122187, transcript variant X2". The record is from RNAcentral. Lineage: Eukaryota; Metazoa; Echinodermata; Crinoidea; Comatulida; Comatulidae.